Hemicordylus capensis (graceful crag lizard) is the source of this 703-nucleotide long non-coding RNA. RefSeq lists it as uncharacterized. Lineage: Eukaryota; Metazoa; Chordata; Lepidosauria; Squamata; Cordylidae. The record is from RefSeq and is a predicted model, not a curated record. The transcript is spliced from 3 exons.
UAAAACAACGAUUUCAUAGCAAAAGAAUGAUUUUGUUUUCUUUUUGUUACGAGUGAGAUGGGAGGCAGCCAUGGAGAAAUAUGUUCCGAAAUAGUGUACAGUAGGUGUUAGAUGCUGACUCACUGGUCCCCACAGAUCUCCUCCUCCUGAAAUGAAUCAUAACAUAGCAUAAAGAAGAAUACAUGCCCUCUUUUGAGUUGCCUUUUCUUAAACAAGGUACUACAAAAACCUGCAAAACCCAUAUGCCCAAAAUGAUUAUGGGAGAUUAUGGCUGCCACACCACGUGCUGAAACCCAAACAGAAGAGAGAUAUAGUACAAUAUUCAAGCAAAAUGAGUCAACAGAAACAAUCAGUCUUCCUCCAAAGGCCGUUUUAAAGAGCCAUUUGAAACAUUGACAAAGAACAGUGCACAAUGCAAAGGUCAGGGGAGCAGAGUCCCUGGACUGAAUCACUGAGCAUUCCCCCGACAUUGCCAGAAGCUCCCCUGUAUGAUCUAAGAGACAUAUGAGACCCUAGAAUAUGGGCCAGCCUAUGAACCCCAAGUCUGGCUCUGCGCGACACUACAGUAAUAUUACUAAUGCAACAUAUAGCAAAAUGAUGACACCCCUGCCCCACAAAGGCAAGGUCUGACUUCUUGCUGCAACAUCUGUAUGCCAUGGGAUGCUUUCUAUUCCAAACCCCUUUUUCAUGCUGUGGGACAGGG